Sinocyclocheilus rhinocerous is the source of this 150-nucleotide long non-coding RNA. RefSeq lists it as uncharacterized. Lineage: Eukaryota; Metazoa; Chordata; Actinopteri; Cypriniformes; Cyprinidae. The record is from RefSeq and is a predicted model, not a curated record. The transcript has 3 exons.
CUGGAUUUGAAACUUCAAGAUCUCUUCACGUCACAUCUACAGGGUCAGACACGGAGCGCAUGGCCGUGCACUCCAUUUCGGGUAAACGGGGGGAAAGACGUCGUCAGGUCCUUUUUACAGGAGAGCGACUGAAAGACAGACGGAGAGGAA